RNAcentral lists this ribosomal RNA (131 nucleotides) under Periophthalmus magnuspinnatus. Lineage: Eukaryota; Metazoa; Chordata; Actinopteri; Gobiiformes; Gobiidae. The record is from RNAcentral.
AGAAGUGGCCAAACCUCCUUGUCAACGCCUGAUUUUGUCAGAUCUCAGAAGCUAAGCAGGGCUGGUCCUGAUUAGUACUUGAAUGGAGCCCGCUGUGAGGUUCCAAUGGGGCACCAGUGGCAACACCUCUC